GCGGAUGUAGCUCAGUUGGUAGAGCGCAACCUUGCCAAGGUUGAGGUCGCGAGUUCGAAUCUCGUCAUCCGCUCCA
Molecule: transfer RNA, 76 nt
Filed under: Saprospiraceae bacterium
Lineage: Bacteria; Pseudomonadati; Bacteroidota; Saprospiria; Saprospirales; Saprospiraceae
Description: tRNA-Gly
Rfam family: tRNA
About the family: Transfer RNA (tRNA) molecules are approximately 80 nucleotides in length. Their secondary structure includes four short double-helical elements and three loops (D, anti-codon, and T loops). Further hydrogen bonds mediate the characteristic L-shaped molecular structure. tRNAs have two regions of fundamental functional importance: the anti-codon, which is responsible for specific mRNA codon recognition, and the 3' end, to which the tRNAs corresponding amino acid is attached (by aminoacyl-tRNA synthetases). tRNAs cope with the degeneracy of the genetic code in two manners: having more than one tRNA (with a specific anti-codon) for a particular amino acid; and 'wobble' base-pairing, i.e. permitting non-standard base-pairing at the 3rd anti-codon position.
Source: RNAcentral